This 26756-nucleotide long non-coding RNA is filed under the name Lotus japonicus. RNAcentral describes it as "long non-coding RNA (LJAP_LNC001208)". The record is from RNAcentral. Lineage: Eukaryota; Viridiplantae; Streptophyta; Magnoliopsida; Fabales; Fabaceae.
AUAAGUAAAAAGCUCAUCUCCAUAACUUUUUUUUCUUAAAAGUUACUUAUUUCUAUUUUAUGUUGUAAAAAAUAAGUAACUUUAAUUUUUAGAGCUUUUUAAAAAUUAUGUUUGACCUAACUUAUCUUAAAAGUAACUUAAAAGUAAAAAAAAAACUGGCGAAACACUACCUUAGAAAUUUAAUGUUUCUUGGCUCUGUUCCAUUUCUCUUAUCUAUGGUGCUAAUGAUAACUUUCAUAGCUUGUCACCAUAUCUGUUUCUAUUUGUUUUUUAUUUGAAAGCUGAAUCAAAUAUAUAUUAAAAAGCCUCAAAGGGAGCAAAGAGAUCACCGGUCCAGAAACAUUGCCUCAAAACAUAUGAAACCCUCCACUAUGGCCAUUAGAGAUCUUUGAGAAUGAGUUUCAAUAAAAUCUUAUUAGGAAAAACCCAGUAGGAUAAAAACCUAAUGAAGGAAAAAAGAGUGUUCAAUUCUCAAAGAGGCCAAAAAUACACACAGACAAAACCCCACCCUUCCUCUAGAAAAAAACAAUAUUACAUAACAAAUGUUUAGCUCCAAAUUCAGAAUACACGCAUGAAGCUAAUCUACUAGCUUUCUACAGCCCCUUCCUUUAUGCAUACUUAUGACAUGCCAUUAUACUAGCCAUCCCACCAUUCUUUCAAAUAGGCUGCAAUUCACCAUUUGUGCCCCUGCAAUCACGACAAACCACCUGCACAAGGGAACAAACACCCAAGCGAAUCAAAAGAUUUGCAUACCUCAAGCGUGACCCUCAUAUGUCUGGCUUGAUUUGUUUGGGAUCUGGUCAGUAUUAGUCAUUCUGGUAACUCUUGGUUGUUACCCUUGCCCUUUCUGGGCUGUUCAUAGUUUCUGUGAUGUGGUCUUUGUGAAUAACUCUGAAACUUUAAUGUGUUGGAAAUUAUAAACAGUAUUUUGAUGUGGAAUAACAACCUAUUUUUAGAACUAGUACAGGGAGAGGAUGGGGUCACAACUCGAGCCAGAAGGACGUGGUUGGUGGGAAAGGAGUUGGGGUUGAAAGCAAGAGGCUCAGAGGUUUGGAAAGCUCAAAUUUGUGAAAACCACCCAAACCUCAUUUGAUCUCUUGCAUGGGGAACCUCUAGUUAACAUGGAAUGUUUGUGGGUUAGGAGGUAGCUCAGUGAAACGUAAGGCAGUUAAGAAGGCAAUAGCACAAUGACGUUCGAAUCUUCUUCUAAUUCAAGAAACUAAAUUGAGUGAAGGGAAUUUUGGUUGGCAAGAAAUAUUCAAUGACGAGCAUUUAAUUUCCAGCGUCAAUUUAUAAUUUUAUAUGGGAUGCCCAAAAUCCAAAGGCUGCUCUUAUUAUUUCUAUCAAUUUGAGCAAAGAGUCACGCACAUUAAGCUUGGGGACGUGAAAAGUUAGAGGAAGUAUAUUGCAUGGUCUUCACCUCAAGGCUUGCAUCUUAUUAAAAUGGACAAGGAGGGUUUGGUGGGAUGUUGAGAAAUAAUGUUGGUGCGGUGUGGGGAUAUUUUUCCAAAUCAAUGAAGGUAUGCAGGGCUGAUGAGGCAGAGGUGUUAGCGAUUUUACAUGCACUUUUAUUUUGUCAACAAUUUAAUGUGUUUCAGGUGGCAUUUGGGAGUGACUCUUCACUUGUAACUAGAUAUUAUACCCGUGCGUUGCACGGGUUUACCAACAAUAUCUUUUAACAUAAAAAUAUUCAAUAAAAAUUAUUAUAGUUUAACUAAAUAAAAAUUAAAUAAUUUUAAUUAUAAAUAUUAAAAAAUUGUGUUCAGAAAUUUUAAUAAAUAUUAUUUAUAGUUCUUUUUGUAUAAAUAAUUAAUAUUACUAAAAUUUAAUUAGCAUAGAAAUAAUUUUAACAAUUAAAAAUUAUUUAUUUAAUAAUAUGAAAAUUUAUUAAGUUAAUUUGAAAUAUAUAAAUUACGUAAAAAAUAUUAAGUAAUAAGUGUUUAAUGUCAUGAAAUAAGUUUUAAUAUCAUUUUUUAUAUUUCUUACCUGAAAAGUCAUUUGUUGUGACAUAUCAAGACCAAGAAGAAUAAAUUAAUUUUAAAUUUUGGAAUUAUAAUAAGUGACGACUUCAAUAGCCUUUUGAUAAAAAAAAAAUAGCCUAAAAUAUUAUCUUGUGAAUUUAAUUUUGUUUCCAACUUAUUUGGUUUACGAAUGUUUUUUCACAGCCGAUAGUCAUGAGGCUAAUCCCUUGAGGCUCUACGAUGACGUUAAGUGGAUAAGCCUAGCUUCUCACAAUAAACAUUUGUUCAACUUUGACAAUUAUUAUUUUUCUCUAUUAUGCUUCCUUGAGUAAUUUUUACUAAUAUAUUAUAGAUCAAAAAAUAUAUUUAAUUUUUUUUAUCCAUAUUAUUUAAUAUUAAAUAAUUUAAAUUUUUAAUAUUUGUCAAAUGCUAAACUUAAGAUAAUUUUAGUGUUUUUUUCUAAAAAAGUCAAAAAAUUGAUGAAUUUUGUUUUUUAAUAUAAGUACUUGAAUAUUUUUUGACAAUACCAUUUUUUUUAAUAUAUUAUUACAAAUAAAAUUUAUUAUUUGUUAAUGUAUUUUAAUACAAAGGUAUGAGAGUUUUAUGGUUUAAGGUAUGUAAUGUAAAACUCAAGUCUCAUGUACAUCUAAAUAGAAUUUUUUAAUUUUAAAUCUUUAGAGUUUAAUGGAUAUGCACUGACAGUGUAAAAUAGUUUUACACAGUCAUCCAAUAAAAACAUGCCACAUAGGAGAGAUAAUUACAUUUGACUUUAAUUUUAAUUAAAAGAAUAAGAUAUUUUAUGAUUUGGCGGAAUUCAAUUGGAUGUCUGUGUAAAACUAUUUUACACUGUCAGUGCAUAUCCAUUAAACUCAAAUCUUUAUAUCUAAAUUUUUUUUAAUAAAUAUUAUUUUCUUAUUGAAUUUAAUUUUUAAUAUUUGUGAAAUACAAAAUUCAUGUAAAUUUUGAGUUUAUGAAUAUAAUGUUGUUAUUUAAUGUAAGUAGUUGAAUAGUUUUUGACAAUAUAAAUUUUUUCAUUUUAAUUUUAUUAUUGUUUAAUCUAUUUAUUACAAAGUUAUUUUUGUAUGUUUUUAAUACAAUGUAACACUUGAGCUUUUCUUAUGUAUUUAAUGUUAAAGCUCAAGUGUGCUUUACAUAUAUAUAUAGAUAUAGAUGGGUUGGGGCCGGGGUAUUGUGGCGAGGAAAGGCCGUGACGAAUUUCAUUGAAUUGAUUAUCUUAUGACGCUUGGUUUUUGUUAUGAUGUUAGUCAUAUUCUAAGAGAGGGAAAUUCUGAGGCAGAAGUUUUGGCCAAGGAAGGGGACAGGGGGUUGCAAGCAAUCCUGUGUAGGUUUUUCAUGGGCAUAUUGCUUUGUAAUUAAUAUUCGACUUUUGAGACUUGGUUCUCUUUUAUCUUCAUGAAUAAAGUUGGGUUUUCAAAAGAAUAAAUAAAAAAUUAUUAUUUUCAAUUUAUUUGGUUUCUAAAUGUUUCCCCACAGUUGAUAUCCAUGAUUAAUCCCCUCGAGACUCUACGAUCGCGUUAAGUGGAUAGAUCUCUCACAACAAAAAUUUAUACAACUUAUGUCAUUAUUAUUUUUCUCUAUUAUGCUUCCUUAAUUAAUUUUUACUAAUAUAUCAUAGAUAAAAAAUAUUUAAAUAUUUUUCAAUAAUGCACAUAUAUGUUAUAGUUAAUAUUAAAUACCUUUUAGCGGCAUUUUUUCCUUUUACUAAUAUAUCAUAGAUAAAAAAGGACCUAGUCUAUUUGGUAACUAAUAUCAUAAUUUCACGUAAUGCACAAACGCUUAAUAAGCUAAAACAAACUCCACAUGACUUAGGUAGCGUUUGGUGACGGAACAGAACAUAACAUAACAGAACGGAACGGGACAGAACAUGAUGGAACAAGACAAUAAUGGUCUGUGUGUUGUGUUUGGUAACUCCUAGUCAUUAUAACAGAACCAUAAUUUUAAUUACAUAUAUAACCCUGCAUGAUUAAUAUUUGAUUGAGGAUAAAAAAAUUGAACAUGCAUAGAAACCGUUUGUUAUUUCUUAUUUCAUGAAAUAAUCACUUAUUUCUUUAAAAUAAUCACUUAUAUAUUAUUUAAGUUGUUUCAGUGUGCUUUUAAAAAAAUACAAAAUUUGAUUAUCUCUUUAAGCUAUUUUAAGUGCGUUUGUUUAGAUUAAUUUUUAGAGAUUUUGAGAAAAGCAUAAGUUUAUUUGUGUUUGACUACUCUAAUUAAAAUCGCUUUUUUUAAUCUCCUCUUGUCUAUCAUAAUAGAUUUUUAUGAUAAGUUAAAAGUAGUUUUUUCAAAUAAGUUGUUUUCAGCUUUUAAAAAAAGACGAAACGAACAUAAUAUGAUUUUUUGAAUUUAAAAAGUGAUUUUGGAUUAAAAUAAGUGAUUUUUUUAUCAAUUUUAUAAGUGAUUUUUUUAUCAAAAAAUUGAUUUUUCUAAAAUAAGUUGAAUCAAAUGAACUAUAAUUGGCUCGUUUGUCCACUGCUUAAAAAAGUGAUUUUUCUUUUGACAAAAAUAAUUGAUUUUAUUUUAAGUGAUUUUUUUGAAAAACAGAAAUUAUUUAACUUUGUCUACAAAUAUAAUAAGUACUUUUCACUUUAAGAAGUGAUUUAAAACUGUUUAGAUAAAAAGAUUUCAAAUAUAAAUUAGGAGUAUUUUUAACUGUGUAAAACUUUUAAGAGAGUGUUCUGUUUCGUUCUCUUCCGUUCCACCCUUUUCCAGGGAACCAAAGUGUCCCGUUUCUUGAGCUUUUUGAACUGAUCCGUUCCAUCUUAAAAGCAUGACAAACACAGAACAUAACCCAUACGUCAUGUUCCGUUCCCUUCCCACCUGUUUACCAAACGCUACCUUAAUAUUGUUGUCCAAUAUUUUAAUAGAAGCUUUUUGUUUAGUAUCUAGAUAUCAGUAGGAUUUGAACCCUGGACUUGGAGAAUUCUAAUCCAUCAAGUAUCAUUUAAGCUAUUCAUACCAGUAUAUUUUAAUAGAAGUUGUCCACCUCAGGUGAAAAAAAAAAAGGAAUUUGUGCCUUCUCUCUAAAUUCGAACACAUGACUUGCCAAAAAAAAUAUUUUCUCCAUGACAACAUGUAUAAUUUUAAUUUGUAUAAGAACUCAGUAUAUAUUAUUUGUUAUAUGUAUUUCCGGUUGUAAUAGGUUGAACCAAUGACUCAGUGGUUGAACCAUUGAUGGGUGAAUAUUAUUAUUAUUAUUAUUAUUAUUAUUAUUAUUAUUAUUAUUAUAAAAUAAGAUGAUUUGAAAAUUUAAGGGUGGAAGAAAAUAUGCUUAUGAAGAGAAUGAUUAUCUUAGGGUCAAAGUUCUGAAUAUAUUAGUGCCUUAAUAUAGGAUUAUUAGAAAUUAAAUUGAACGAAAAUCAAAUAAAAUAUAAUACUUUGACAAAUGAUGAAAAACUCAAACCUCAUUUACACACACCUUGACUAAUUCAUAGACUUGAUUAAUUAAGCUGCAAUCAGAGGUAUUAAAUGGUGAUUUAGUGCAGAACACUUGUCUUCAUGGUGAAGUGACAAGUCUAAGAACACUUGUCUUUGUGCAUGCACUUUUAUGGCCACUUGUCCUUCAACUUUCUUCAACCCUUGCCCUAUAAAUUCGACCUUUCUGCAGCCCUAAGGUCACACCACACCUCAGGCUCAACCUUGCUUGAGAAAUCAGAGAGAGAAGCUCUCAAUUUUCCUUACAAACCUUCAACUUGUUCUUCAUUUUCUCCUUCUUGUUCUUCACGAAAUUCUCUUUCUUUUUCUCCAAAACCACUUCAAUUAUGUUUCUGGGUGUGUGAGGAUUAAAUAUGGAGAGUUUGGCAAACUUCUGGGCACGAAAUCAUCAAUUCUGGGUUCAAUCUUCAACUUCUUCUUCAUCUUCAACCUUCUCAAAUCACUCCAAAACCACCACCAUCAUGUUCCUAGAAGCCUAAAUAUCAAUUAUGGAAAGUUUUAUAAAAUUAUGGGUUGAUUUGGGCUAUUUCUGGGCUCAAUAUUCAAGUUGUUCAUCGUGUUCAUCGCUGCACCGUGUUGUCCAGUUUUCCGGCAAAAAUCGUCAACUUAAAACGUGUUUUUCUCCCUCUUCCGAACUAUGAUUGCGACGAUUCAAAAGCCUUUGUUCUUCUGGAAGAAAGGAGAAUCUGAAUCCGUGAUCCAUUUAUCUCCGGCAAUGAACGCCGCCGCCGCCGCAUCUUCAUCUUCUCCGAUGAGUUAAUUUCUGGAAAUUUCCAGAUUUGCAAUUUUCAGGUUCUUUCACUUCCAGAACCUAAUUUUUAAGCUUAUAUUAAUGAUUUUAAGCAUGGAAAACAUACAUUACAACCCUUAAUUCAUGAAAGAUUGGACUUUAAGUUUAAAUGGUCUAAAAAUGGUGACUUUCAUGAUUAUCACAACUUGAAAUUUUAUCUUUAUGUGAUUUCUUAAACUUGACAGAUUAUGAUUAUGUCAAAAUGAUGCAUAUUUUGUUAGCUUUUUCUAAUAUUAAUUUAUGGAAUUAUUAGUGAUUAACUAGUCAAAUUAAGUGGGAAAUUUCUAACAAAACUCAAUGGUGAAAUGCUAAUCUGGAAUUGAUGGUGAAAUGUUUAAGCACGAAGGAACUAAAGUGAAGAACUAACCUAAGUGUAUGAGAGCUAAUUAGUUAAGAGAAAUUAAUUAAUGACUAGAUUAACUUAUCCAAACAAAUUAAGGAUUUAUCAACUAGAAUCCUUACUUUUUCUCAUCAUUAUAAGGCUAUGAGUUUUAGAAUGAUUGAAAUGGUUAAGUAACAAACGGGAACGGAAGGUAAUUAAGAAGCGCAUGUUUUCAUGAAGUUAUAUACUAAGUGAAUUGUAACCAUAAUUCUAUGCAGAGGAAACUCAUGAGGAUUGACGAAUACGAUAAUUAUCAAGGAACUACGGUAAGAUUGGGAGGGGUCACCAACCAUGAUGGGGGAAUAAUACGAAUAAAUGAGUAUUGGACCCUCAGGUCCUUUGCCGAUUGUUUAUUGUGAAUUUGCCUUAACUUGUAUGCUUUAUGUCGUUGAGUGACUAAGUGGUUAAGAAGAUUGAAGUGAUAUUUGUCUCUUGAUGAUUUUCGUGAUUUGGAAUUAUAACCCUGAUUGUCUUGAUAGAUUAGGCUUGGCUCUGUGAGCAAGGUGAUGUUGAUAGCCUUGGCUCCGUGAGCAAGGUGAUGUUGAUGGAUUAGCCUUGGCUCUGUGAGCAAGGUGAUGUUGAUGGAUAAGUCUAGGCCCCGUGGGCGAACUUAUGUAACCCUCUGGCUCCUUGAGUAGAGGUGUGAUUGAUGAUUUGUUUCUUGGCUUUGUGAGUAAGGAUGUAUGUGCACACAUGAUUUCUCUUGGCUUCGUGAGCAAGAAUGAACCUAAGGGAUUCCCUUGGUCCCGUGGACAAGGAUUUUGAUCUUGGCUCCGUGAGCAAGAACGAUGUCUUGAUCCUGUGGACAAGGUUUGCUUUGGCUCCGUGAGCAAAGCCAUAUGAUUCUUAUGUCUGAUUAUGUAUUUCUUGGUGGAAAUGAACAUGAUAUGCAUGUUUAUGCGUGACUCAUUUAUGUUACGUUAUUCCCUGAUGAGAUUGAGUUGGAAUGCUUCUCACCUCUCUGUUGUGUGUUUUGUUGUUUUUCUCCUCUUUUAUCAGUGACAGACACUGAAGAUAGAGAUUGAGAUGUUGAGAGAUGUGGGGCAAGACUUUGAGCGUAGAUCGAGUUUUGUGCGCUGAAAUUGCAUUUUCCAAUGAUUGAACCUUGGACCUCUCUCACCCAACUCAUAUGUCCCCUAGCUCUUACCACUUGAGGACAUGUAGGCUCAUUGUUGAGUAAAUAAUAUUUAAAAAAAAUCAAUCAAAUAAAUUUUCUCAAGAAUAAAAAAAAGAGGAAAUUUUAUUAAAUUUGAGUUUAAAAGAAGGAAGUUUCUAGAACGGAAGGAAGUUUCAUUCACAAGAGGCUGAAAACCUUUCCCACACAAUGGAAGGCAUCUCGUGGAGGAUCCAUGCACGCCUCUUCCGUGGCAAUAGAAACGUGGUAACCAUCAGGAGCAUCAAUGCAAGGCAGGUCUUCGACAAGCGUGGCAAUCCAACCAUCCAGGUUGGCUUCCUCUUCCUCUUCCUCUUCCAUUUCCACACUUGCUAUUUUCUCCCCUCCCUCUUCUGACUAUCACUGCAGGUGGAUUUGACAUGCUCCGAUGAUACUCUCUCUACUUUUGUCCUCCCAGUAUCAAGCGGUGUAUCUACUGGUAUUCUUCGCUCAUUUUCCUUAGAAGCGCAAGUGUCUUUAUUUGUUUAAUUCUCUGUGUUUGUCUACUUCUCAGACUUUGUGCUUGUCUUUAAAUCCGAUGGCAUUUUCUCUUUUCUUCUAGUAUAGCACUUUCAAAAUUGACUGUGACUGAAAUAGGGCUGGUAGAUAUAGCUACUUUAAAAUGUAGCGGUGCUAUUUGGUUUGGUUAUGGUAGGCUGCUUACUCCAACUAAUCCUAUGAAAAAAAUUUUAAAUAUUUACUUUAAAAUGUUAUUAGGGAUUGACAAGGCCCUUGAAUCGAGAGACGGAAGAUCAGACUACCUUGUAAAAGGUGUAUCAAAGGUACUCUCAUGUCUCAGGAAAGGUUGUCUUGUGAUUGGUCUACCACCGUUGUAUUAUUUUCACCUAUUUUUUCUGGAACUUGCAGGCUGUUGACAAUGUGAACAACAUCAUUGCCCCUGCAUUGAUCGACAUGGUUGGUUAUAUUUACUUUUCACCUGUGUUUUUGCUGAACCAUUUUUCCUUUUAUGUUAGGAUUUGUUAAUUAUUCCCUUAGUAUUGUAGUUCUGCGAUUUUAAGCCUACAACAUUUAAGGUUAGUAAUGAUACUAAAGCUUCUUUGGAUUGAAGAAAUUUUUCUGUUUUCUUGUGUGACAAUGAAAAGGAUCCAACUCAGCAGACAGAUAUUGACAACCUAAUGGUUCAACUGCUUGGUGGAAGUGUUAAUGAAUGGGGUUCGUGCAAGGAAAAGGUGCUUAGCAGACCAUAUUUGUAAUCAUUCAUUUUUACUAUGCUAUGUGUAAUUCUAAUGCAUAUUUUGUUGUUUUAGCUUGGGGCAAAUGCCAUAUUAGCAGUGUCAAUUGCAGUCUGCAAAGCUGGUGCAAGUGUCCUGAAAAUUCCUCUGUACAAGGUAUUUGAGCAUGAACUGUGAUACUAAAUCAUUUUAAGUUCAGUCUCUUCAUGGGAUCCAUAUUGUACAAUUGAAGCUGUUCAUGCAGUUGACUAAGUUGUAUGAAAUUCUGUUUCCAAGGUCAACAUGGUAAAUAGAUGUAUACUGUCAGAUUGAUUUAAAUAAAUAUUUACAAUGAAUUAUUUGGUUACAUGAUGCAUAUCUGCAAAUUCUUACAGCAGUGCCAACAAACACCCCCCUCUCAGUUUUCUUCCGUAUUAGCAGGGAUGUUUAUAGCGGCCGAGAGGAGUGGCGGCCAGAGACCAGUUGACAACGGAAGGUGUAGUGAGGCAUUCAAGGUUCGCGGUCGCCGCAGCCGCUUUAGUGGCAAAAUUCGCCGCCAUUGCGCCACUACACCGCCACUACAAGGAUUAGGGUUCUUUGAAGGAGAAGAAGGUUCAAGAAAGUAAAAAAUACCCGUAGAAUUAGAACGUUAGGGGCUAGGGCUAUUAGUUGAGGGUGUUUUUCAUUUUUCGGUUCUAAUAGCUCAACCUAAAGAGGGCCCUGAAAAACAAAACUUUCAUUGUGCACUGCCCUCUUCCAACUUUCUUCUCCUUUAGAUCCUUACUCCUGCACCUCCACCACUUGGACCACCUUCCAGCGUUUUAGGAUGACUUUUCCAUCCUCAUUUCUCCUUCUCCUGUGUAGCGGCCUCUAUGCUCCGUUAUCCAGUAUUGACAAGCCUGGUUUUUAGCUGUUUUUGUUUAUCUGACUUCAUUAUUGCCAUUCUUUCGGUGCAGCAUAUUGCAAACCUUGCAGGUAACCCAAGGAUUGUUUUGCCUGUUCCCUCAUUCACUGUCAUCAACAGGGUAUCACAUGCAGGAAACAAACUUGCUACGCAGGUCUGCUUUCAAAGACUGUUCCGUAUGUGUGUGUGAGAGAGAUAAGUAAUGCUUAAUGAAUUUCUAUUACACCUGCCUUCGCAGGAGUUUAAUAUUCUUCCUGUGGAGAGUUCCAAUUUCAAGCUUGCUAUGCAACAGGGCAUUCAAACACAUGAAACAGUUCAUGUCAGUUUUGCAUAUUACAGUCAUUCAGCUUUCCUAAAUACGUUCUCUAAAUGAUUUUUUUCAUUAUUUAGUUAAGUUCUGGUGACGUCAUUUCAGGGUGUGAUUGCUAUGAAAUACGGUAAUAAGGCAGUACAAGUUUGUGACGAAGGUGGAUUCACCCUUAACAUCAAGGUAAAUAAUGGUUAGUAACAUUUUUUUUCUUUUUACGAAUGGUACUUGGAUACCUGCUUUCAUAUUCUGGCCAGUUACUGGUGAGCUCUUAAAUGAUCAGGAAAAAGAAUGUUUGGAAUUGCUGAAAAGUGCCAUUGACGAAAGUGAAUACACAGGCUCGGUUAGUUUUACCCUUAUCAAACUUCUGCUUAUGAUGCUUUGGCUUUUUAAAUGCCUUCAUUUAAGGGCUCAACAAUUUGUCUUAUGUUCUUAGGUUUUAAUUGGAAUGGAUGUUGCACCUUAUGCAUUCCGCAAUGAAGACAAAGCAUAUGAUUUGAAAUUUAAGGAAGAUGUGAGCUCUCUAUUAUCUCCUCCAGUACUGCUAAGUGUUAAUUUUUGGUCUAGUUGGAAAGUGAUGGGAACCAAAUAUCUAAUUCCAGAUAAAUAUGGAUAAUUCCCAAUUACAGAAACAUUCAUAUUAUAUAGACUCUCACACUCAAGAAGCAGAAAGGUAAAGGAAAACACUCACAAAGAAAAAUAUAAAGACAGAGAAAACUUGAAGGGUUUGCCAACCUCCCUGCCCAAAGGGCCCAAAACCACUAAAUUUAUGCCUAUGUCUACUAACCACUUUCUUUGCAUUCAUCAUAUUAAAUAUAAUAUUAGUUGCUCUUCUCACUCAGUUGUAGCUGAUAAUUAUAUAAAAUUAAAUAUUCACCAUUCUGUCCUGCUUACUCAUGUUUGCUGAUCUUCUACUUCCAUCCUCUUUCAUGUAGCAUUCACAGAAAGUAAGCUUAAGGAACAUAAAUAUAUUAUUUUGGCACACACAUGGGCAUAAAUGAUAAAACCUCAUAUUCUGUUUGCUAGUUUUUCCAAUUAACUUAUAUAUUCCAGCAUUCAUUAACGUAUGAGUUAGUAACAUAUAUGGUGAUACAUAUUUAAAUUAUUUAUUUGCUUAGCAUUUUCUGUUUGUCAUUCAGAACAACGAUGUCUCACAGAAGAUCUCUAGGGAUGCUUUGAAAGAUCUCUACACAUCAUUUGUGAAGGAGUACCCAAUUGUUUUAAUUGAAGAUCGUUUUGACAAGGAUGACUUGGAGCCCUAUGCCAAGCUGACUGAAGAAGUUAGAGACCAUGUGCUAAUUGAUGGUGAUGUUCCCUUGGUCUCCUUCCUGAAGGUUUGCACUUUACAAAAAACUCCUCCCCCUCCCUCAAAAAAUAUUUGUAUCUGUUGGCUAAGACUAGAGGGGUUGUCCUUUGACUUGUUACCUCUUGUAUUGUGUCCACAGAGGGUUCCGAUGGCAAUUGAGUCAAAGUCAAAUACAGAAAUAUGCAAUUGUCUUAUGCUCAAGGUACUCGAAUUCUGUCAGGAAUAUUUUAUUGAGAAAAGUUAUUGGAUCUCAUUAGACGUCAACCUAUAUUUACCAAUAUUGAUUGAAACAAACCCAAAACAUGCAGGUUAGUCAAAUGGGAUCUGUGACUGGUUGUAUUAAAACUGUCAAAAUGGCCAAAGAACAUUUUUGGGGAGUCAUUGCCUGUCCCGGAAGGUUUGAAUCUGUCUUUAAAUGCAAAUGAUGCUCAUGCUGGUGAAAAAGUUGAGUCAAUCACUAUAAUAUACUAACGUUCUACAUAUUGGUUGCAGUGGAGAGACUGAGGAUACCUUUAUUGCUGAUCUAUGUGUUGGUUUAUCAAUGGUAUUGCCUUAUUUUAAUUAAACUUUUGUGAACUUGCGACUUGAAGUCUAACUGUGGAAAUGUUCUCUUGAACAGGGUCAAAUUAAGGUUGGAAAUCCAUUCAGUGAUCCGCGACUGGUUAUACAUCUUCGGGUUAGUAAUAAUGGUCAUUACGCUAACUUCAGCUUUCAUAGUUAAGCCUUUUUUUAAUGCUUGAAGUUCACUUGGCAGCUCAAGAAAAUUGAGAUUGAGCUUGGUUCGGAAUCAUUGUAUGCUGGCUGGAACUUCCGUCACUGGUGACUGUGAGGCGCAGCUUGUUGCAAAUGGUAUUUUAUACCCUUAAAGCUGAGGCAAAAAGCAGUAGUACAUUUUGAUGUUACGUGAAAUGGGAGUUACGUGCCAUUUUAGCAUUUUUGAUGUUGUAAAUUGGAGUUAUGUGCCUUUGUAAUUAUCAUGUGACCAUCAAAAUGCUAAAAUAUUGGAAAAGCACGAUCUGAUCUCAAUGACUUAUUAUAAAACAUUAUAUUAUGUAAGACAAUUUAACAUUAAUAAUAUGGUAUCAAGUGGUAUAGAAUUAGUCUUAUUACCUCCACCACAGUGAUAAUAAAAGGUUGGAUUUCUAAUUGUUCGUGAGUCUUCUAAAUCAACAUGAAGUCCAUUGGGUUUUCCAUGCUCAUAUUGGGUUAGGUAGAAGAUCUUAUGUGAUCAAUAUGAAACCUUAUUGUUACGUUUGUCUCUUAUGUCAACAUGAAGUCUGAUUAGGUUUUAGGAUUAAAAAAAUUCUGAUGGGGUCACAUGAGCGGUGAACAAAACCCACCUUGGCUUGAGGAUCCAUCCCAAGUGUUUAGGGUCGGGUUGGACCCAUGGAUAAAAAAAUAUGCGUUACUUCAAAUCUGGUAUUGGGUCGAGGGUCAAUUUGAACUCAUCCUGAAUAUGUAAAUACUAGUACUUUUACCCGUGCGAUGCACGGGGGGUUAUUCAUUUUUGUUUAUCGUAUGUAUUUUUUAUUUCUAAAUUUGUGCUUUUUUAAUGUUUAUAGAAAGAAAAUUUAUGAAUUAAAAGAACAAAAUUAAUUUUAGAUAUAAGCAAACAUAAAUUUGAAUUAUGUUUCAAGUGAUGAGUGUAUUUGUUUUUAUUUUGCAGAAGCGCAAAAUGUUUAUUUUUUUUAUGGUUUUUGUCCUUACUUUUCUUCUAUAAGUUUUGAUUAAAAAUGUACUAACCACUGCGUUGCAUAAGAAGUCUUCGUCUAUGUUUACCAUCACUUAAAUACUCUCAAGUUUUUUUCCAAACAAAUCAUGCCCUUAAAAGCUGAUAUGAUAAUAGUAAAGUAGCAAAAAGUCUUCUAAGAUUGUUAGCAGUACUGCAAUGCAAAGCUUUUAUUACUUCACCAGUGUAUUCUGGAUCAUCUUCAAGUAAGCUCAUCGUAUAGCACACGUACUUAAUGUGUCAUAUGAAACUUCGUAUAUAUUUUUGUUAAGUUAGGAAAUGAAUGAGCCCCUCUGUAAAAUUUAGCAAUAACCUCAGAUAAUUUUCACUUUUUUAUAACCUUUAAUUUCUCAAAAUAUGUGCUUUUUUUAUUACAUUUAUCAAGAGAAAUUUUAUGAAUUAAAAGUAUAAAACUAAAUUUAGAUAAAGAAAUCAUAAAUUUGAAUGUUUUUUUUUUACCCUGAAAAAACAUGAAAAGAAAAACUCUAUUUGUAAUUCAUGAAAAAUUAGGAAGAGUCAAUUAUACAUAAAAACUGUCUAAUAAAAAGUAGGAUGGAACUAAGAGGAAAUCAUUACAAAAUCAAAGAGCAAGUUAUAGCACAUUUAUACAUUCUAAGCUGAAACAUCAGUAUUUAUUCAAUGUUAAUACGUCAACACAGACUAUACGAAGUGCACAUUUUAAAUGAACGGUGUUACUAAUAUAUAUAGUUGUAGGAAAAAUGGUUAGUGGAAAAGUUAUUUUUUUGGAGUGAUAUCAUAUUUAGUAUUAAAACCACCACAUGUAUUCAUAUUAUUUUUAAUUAAUAAAUAAUUAAUAAUUCUCUAGAUCAAAACAUAUUAAUUGUCUCCUAUGGAAUGCUCUAACUUAUAUGAACUAAAUAGUAAUGAACUAAAUAAUAAUAAACUCAUUUAAAAAAUUCUAGGUAAAUAAUUAAAGUUUUAAUAGAAUUAUAAACUAUUUAAUUUAAUACUUAUAUAGUUGCCGGGCGCGCAAAGGAAUAAUGAGAAUGUUAUUUUCUGCAUUGAUAUGAUAUUAAAUCCACCAUAUUUAUCUUUUAUGGAUUCAUAUUAAUAUUAAUUAUUAUUUAACUUACUUCAUGUUCCGGUUAAUAAAUCAUAUUUGUUCUGUUUUUAAAAGAAAUUAUUAUUUAACUAAUAAUUCAAUAAACCAAAACUAACUUUGUGUGCCCUAUGAAAUUUCCUAACUCAUAUGAACCAAAUAAUAAUAAAUAAUUUUUAUAUAUUUUGAGGUAAAUAGAAGAAGCAUAUAACAUGACAUUAAUGGGAGAAUUGAAACCGUCAAAUAGAAUUUCAAGUGGAAGGGAUAAUGAAAAUGUCAUUUUUCAUCUAUAUCUGAUUUAAUAUUAAAAUAUCUGAAUUUCAUAACUCAUAUGAAACAAAUAAUAAUAAAUACUUUUCAUAUAUUUUGGGGUAAAUUGAAGAAGGAUAUAACAUGACAUUAAUGGGAGGAUUGAAACCGUCAAAUAGAAUUUCAAGGGAAGGAAUAGUGAGGUCAUUUUUGCAUCGAUAUCAUACAUUUUCUAUUAUUAUUUAAAAUAGAGUUUAUAAAAAACAAUUCUUAACAUACUACUUCAUUUUAUUUUUGAAUUAAAGAUGAUAAAAUGCCCAAAAAAUUAAUUUCAAAAAAAUAUAAAUGAACUAUAAAUAUUUAAAUUUAAAAAAUAUAAAAAAUGCAUAUUGGUUACGUAUUAUUAUAUGCAUAAAAAGGGGUUGCGAAAAUAGACAUUUAGGAGUUACAUAGAAAUUAAAAAAAUUAAUUAUUAGAAGUUUUAAAAUUAAAAAUAAAAAAAUCUUACAAUAUUAUUUCAUUUCAUUUGUGAAUUAGAAAAAAUAAAAUGCAUCAAAAAAUCAAUUUCAAAAAUAACAAUGAACUGUAAAUAUUUAAAAUAAAAUAAAUAAAUAAAAAUUGAUAAAAAUGUUAUUAAAAUAAGUCUAAAAAAUGCACAUUGGUUACAUUUUUUUAAUAGGAAAAUGUUAGUUGUUAGUAAAUUAGUCUUUCUUAGAGAUCGAACCUUGGAACCUUCACCCUUCACCCUCCGAAACCCUUAUGUCUCAUAGCUCUUACCACUUGAACUAAUUUUCGGAGACGCAUAUUGAUUACAUAGUAUUAUGGCUAAAAAGCAUUUUUGGCCCCUGAUGUUUUAAGUUUGUGCAAAUUCUGCCCCUAUCUAUUUUGUCGAUGUUUCUACCCCUCAUGUUUUUAAACAGUGCACCAUCUACCCCUCACGGAGGGGUAGACGGUGCACUGUUUGAAAACAUGAGGGGUAGACGAUGCACUGUUUGAAAACAUGAGGGGUAGAAACAUCGACAAAAAUAGAGUAGGGGCAGAAUUUGCACAAACUUGAAACAUCAGGGGCCAAAAGUGCUUUUUAGCCUAGUAUUAUAAGCUUAAAAAAGUAUUACAAAAAAAAGUAAUAUCAUUAGCAUUUUUUAAUAGCAAUUAAUAUAAGCAUCAGAAUUUCACAAUUUAGCAGUAGGAUUUAGAAAGGUGCGCGCCAGCUUUUACGUGCAUUUGUGUUGUUACCCAUAUUUUUGUAAUAAUUCAGCCAUUAUUAGAUAAAGAAAAACAAUAUAAAAACCUAUCUUUAGCGGAUACAAUAGAUAAAAUUAAAAAAAAAAAACUAACAAAUAAUGAAGGGCAACUUUUAGAAGAAGGCGAUAUUGAAAUAUACAAAAUUGGAUAGAAAUAGAAAUAUAUAAAUAUAAAUGAUACAAAAGAAUAUUCCCUUCCUAAGCUAACUAACUAAUAUUAGUCCAAGCUGAAAUCGGCAGCAGUUGCAAUUCCUUUGUAAUGAAAAAGGGAUGUGAGAUACCACAGACCUAACUCCCAACUCAAAAAGAAAAUAGAAACAGUCAAAAUGUAAGUUCUUUGGUAGGUGUCAAAAAUAGAAACUGUGAGAUAAAAAAAUGAGGCCAUAAUAAUCCUUUGUAAUUCCUGAUCCAUCCAGCACAAAUGUCAAUGUGGUAGGCACCUUAGUGCCCUUGGACUGCUGGUAAUUCUUGAAAAUGAACAGUAACAAAGCUAGCUUAUCAAACGUAGAACCUUCAAUAUUUACACCAAUAGGAGAAAGUGUUAUUGAACUGCUGGUAGUUUUGAGCAUAAAGGUUCUGAGAGUGGUUGAAGGAAGUCAUUCUUGGAAUGAAAUGUUAGCCAAUGCAGAGGAGAAAUUAACAUGUUCUUCCCAUUCUUGAUUGUUGCAAUUCCAAAUAGAUUAAAGCCACAUGAUUGUUGAUGGCAGAGAGGUACUGGCAACAUACGAAGAUCCUUAUUUGUUAGCAAAAUCAUUCCUGAGGUAGUCCAGACCAGUAGAUCCCUUAAUCAAAGGCUGUGUGCUUUGCUUAACUCUUUCUUAAGAAUCUGUCACAUACAUGGUAAUGCAUUUUUCUCAAAUAAAGUCUACAGGAAGAUAAAUACCAUGUCCGGUUUGAUGAGAAGUAAGGUUUUGUGCACUACAACAAAGUACAAACCAAGCAAAUUGAUUGAAAGUUUGAGUCUAUUUAAAUGGACAUCCAAUAAUAGCACAUCCCAAGCCAAUAUGAAAUACACCAAACAACUACACUUAAAAGCAGUGGCAAGUUAAUGUUUACCUUAGAAGCAUCCCUUUGCUUUUCUUUCAUGACAGUAGCCAGUGCUGGUUCAAACUCACCUUUUCGACUGGAAUACGAAGGGAAUAUAAUUAAUAGAGAAAGAUAUUGAGAACUUCACACCUUUGCAAUAUAAAAAUUCUCUCUCCCAUACUCUCUCAAUUCAUGCCUAAAUCAAAAUUGAUCAUGCAUGAUUGAGAAGCAUUUUGGUAAUACAGAUAUAUAGACGACAUCUUACACUAAUGGAUAGUGCAUGAGAAUACGAAAUUAGAUAUUAAAUAUCAAUUUUAAAACUAACACAUGGAUUAGAAUGAAGAGUUGAAACAGUUUUGAAAACAAAUUUCAGUAGUGCACCUUAAGAAACUGUGAAUAGGUUCAUCUCACGUAACAGAACACUGCAUAGAAAACCAAAUAAUAGGUACAUUAAAACUACUACUAAUAGAGUAUUUAUAACCAUAACAAUGUACACCAAGGCACGUGGAUAGUUAAGGAAUGAAGGUCCAAGCAAUUUGAUGUAUUUGGGCAGUUUCACUUGUCUUAUUAGAGGUGUCAGAGAGCCUCACACCCAUCUGAACUAUGGAAAAAUAAAACAUACUAUUUUUUGAACCCAAAACUUGACUUGCAAAGGCUCUAAUCCAGCUCAUAGCGCAACGAAAAGUACCUGAAAGUUAAAAACUUGCUAGAAUAUCACGGAUAUUGUAAGGAGUGAAAUUGUUGGUAAAGAAUCAACAGUAUGGUCUGUGAGCAGCAGUGAUAGAAGAAACUGCACAAAAGAACCUCCUCGUGAUCUUUCUUUUGCUGGUUCAGAUCAUUUUAAAAAUACAUGAGAAGAGAAGAUAUGAUGAAUAGAUUGAAUAAUGAGGAAUAAGAGGGGGGAGAUAGAUGUUAAACCAUAAGUAAAUUUCUAAAAAGAUGAAGCAGCAGAGGGUGAUGAGUAAGAAAUUAGGGAUUAUUUAGCUCAGGGAGUCCAACAUGUGUGUAACCAAAUGAAAGAUUCAGGAACUACAAAAUGAUGGAAAAAACACUCCUUUUAUGGGAAAGCAAACAGAAAAAUGGUGAAAGUUCUUACCGUGGGAACAUAAGAGAACGUGAUCGGUGAGCUUCAAAGGAAAUGGAAGAAGAUGCCGCAGUGUGAAGACAGAACGGUACCCUGCGGAAUCGGUUUAAUUUGCCAAAAGAAAUAGAAUAAAUAAAAUGAAAUGAGUUUGGGAUGAAGAACAUGUCAAAUCCAUAUCCAUAACCACAUGAACAUCAAACGGGGAAGAGGAUGGCAAAGGUUUGCACGAAUGAGUUGCACGCAAAGUAAAUAAUGGAUCCCUCAAAUUCAGUAUCUCCAGAGCAGAACUGCGGAAAAUUUAAAAUGAAAGAGAAGAUGAGAUCGUCAAUCACAUAGUAAGGUCAACUGGAUGAACAAAUGGGAAAAAAAGGGAAAAAGCAAAUGAACCUUCACCGCGGAAAUGAGAGGAUAUACUCUCUCAAUUCAUGCCUAAAUCAAAAUUGAGCAACUGCAAAAUGUUUUCCAACGUUAAAGGUGAUCAAAUAUCAAUGUCGAGAUCAUUGUAACAAUUAAGGACCUGUAUGGUUAUAAUUAAAUUUCAUGAAAUUUCACAAUUUGUCCCAAUCUUUAAACCCAAACCAUUCACUCAACUAAUUAAGCUAUUACAUGGUGAAAAAGAAAAAGAAAAAGAGUCAGGGAAAGCACCUAUCAAUUGACCUUAAUUUUGGGGACAAAAUGAUCACAUUUCAGUUCUCUGUCUCAGUAUUUCCAGAGCGAACGGGCAAACACCAAUUGAACCAAAUGAACAACCUGCCUUGCCUUUCCUUGCCUUGAUUCUCCAUAUGCAGCAACAAUUCCUUGACAUUCUACACUUAAAACUUCAUCAGCUCCAAUACUAUGAUUAAUUUCAUGUCGUGGCACAGGAAUUUUUAACUUUAUGUUAACAAAAUAAAACAUAAGUUCAUUUGAGAUUAAAACAAAAAUCCCAAAAUCAACUAUAGCAUAGGCAGCCACAAUUAUGCAGAUGAAAAGUUGACUGUGUUUUAUUUUUAGAGUGAAGAAAAAAAAGGUAAAAAUUAAGGAGAAGCACUUACAGAAUUGUGAAGCCGCAAAGGGCUGCGAUUUAGACACAAUACCUGCGAAGAACAAAACACGGUGAGGAAGAACAUAAAGAAAACGAAAGCAUAAAAAUAAUGAACAGGCCUGUAGUGCACAUAUAGAACAAUGAAGCAAGGAAUAUGUGAAGAACAAAAAAGAAGUGAAAGGAAAAUCAAAGAUAAGAAGCGAGGCUUCAACCAAGAGCAGAGUAAGAAGAGCGGAUUCACAAAUAGGGAUAAAAUGGAGGAGAAGAAGAUUUUUAUCACCUGCUGUGCGAAUCUCGCAGUCUACCUAUCUCACACCACACACAGUUCCUAAUGGACGGAACAGAUUCCUCAGUUCGCCAUCUACCUAUCUCCCCUACCUCGCACGCCGCCGGAGCCCUCAGGGUCUUCACCUCGUCGCCGCUGCGGAAAAAACGACAGGCACAACUCUGGGGUUAAAGAGAGGGCCUUGCGAUGUAAUGGGGAGAGGAAUCUCUGGCCUCAACAUCGCAAACAAAGAAAUAGAAGAGGGAGAGAGGCGAAGAGAGUGAAGAUAUGGAGAGUGGAGACAUUCCAACUUCCAAGUGAACGGAACAAUUGAGAAACAAAAUGGAAGCGAGUGGAAAACGAAACGGAAGGCUGAGGAAACGGAAGGAGAAAAAGAAACGUAAGAAAAGGGAAAGGCUGAGGGAAAAUGUGAUUGAGGAAUAAACGGCUAUGAUCGAAUCUUGAGAAAUAAUGUAUACUUUUACUAAAAUGUCCAUGCUAAAAAUUAGAUUAUUGUGCAUUAAGGUGUUGAAUGACUGAUUUGCCCGCAAGGCUGCAGAAACUCUGCUUUUAUAUAUAGUAUAGAUAGAUAGAUAGAUGUUAUAUGGGUAGGGGUGGAAAUAGGUCAGACGGCUCGUCAGGGGCCUAUGGUUCGGCUCGUUUGAGGCUCAGCUCAGCGCGGCUAGUUUAUUAAAAAGGUCAGGCUUAGGCUUUUCAAAAGGCUUAUUUAACUAAAAAGGUCAGGUCCAAACAAUUUAAAAAGCCUAUUUGGCCUGAUAGGCCGGCCUACUUAUAUAUUAUUUUUAUUAAUAAUAUAAAAAAAUAUAAUUUAAUUAGAUAUAAUUUAAUUUUUUUUUAAACUGAUGUAUACUUUAGUAUAAAAGAAAACCAUAAGUCUAUACCCUAACCUAGAUUAGAAACACAUAUUCAGCAUAGCACAUCCUGAGUCACAUAGCUGCCACUGUCGAUCUGGCGCUGCCAAGUCCACCUCUCAUGCAAUGAUAUAGGUUUAGUUUUUGAAAUGCAAUAAUAUAAGUUUUUUUAUUUGAAAAGAAAGUGCAAUGAUAUAUAAAAGGCUUAUUAGCCCGCCGGCCUAAUGACCUUCUUUUGAUAAAAUUGUCUGUUAAAUAGGCUUUUAAGAAGGCUUGUAGGCCAGGUCAGGCCUUAGAAAAAGUCAAGUCAAGUCAUAAAAUUUGACGUAUUGAUAGGCCACAGGACAGGCUUAGGCCACGAAAAGAGAAUGCAGGCCAAGCCUAGGCCACGUAAAGCUUGGCUCGGCUCGGCCUAUUUCCACCCCUAUAUACUGGUAAAUACCCAAGUUGGUCCCUGAAAGUGUCAGGCGCUGUCAAGUUAGUCUCUAAACUUUAAAAACUCAUCCUGCGGUCCUUGAAUGUGGCAAACGUUAUUCAAAUUAGUCCCUGACGUUAAAAAAUGUAACGGGACGUAAACAAAAUCUUUUUUUUUUCCCUAGUUGGACUACCUACGUGGAACUGGAGUGUUGGUAAAACAUUUAACAAAACUAGAUACGAAAAAAAUAUCCAACCCAUAACAAUCAAACAAGAGAAAUAAUUAACCCAUUCCUAGCUUCAACAAUAAAAUACCAUAGCCCCAACUUACAUUCCAGUGUCUAGAAAAUCUGUAAUUUGAGCAUAAGACUAAAGCACUUGCUUAAAUAUUAUAGCUACUAUCCAAUUGCAUAAUCAAAUACACAAACCGCACACACUGAUCCAAUCUAAAAGUCCUUUAUGUUCAAUUUCAUCAUGACCCAAUUCAGAGGCAAAGAGAAUCUUCUUGUCCAGAAUACCACUUCCAUGGGUAGCCCAGAUACACAUAUUUGCAAUGGAACCAAACGAUUUCUAUCUAAGCCACAAUCAACCGUUAAGCUUACAACUUUCCUCAUUUCCUCAUCUCCAAGCCAAAUCAACUCCCCUUCAGCACUGAUCUGAAGCUUUUCUCACCAAACACUGUAAACCCAACAUCCGUAGCCACACCCACUUUCCGCAACCAAACCAACCAGCCUCCUUCCUCAGUGGCGGAUCCAGGGCCCUGGGAUCAGGGGGUUCAAAUUUUACAAAUGAACACAUCGGUAAAAAUAUAAUUAAAAACAACUUUAAUAUGUUCAUACAUUAGAAAUUAUACAAGUCAUAGAUGUCCUUUACGUGAUUUCAUAUUUUGAAAUCGUUGAACAACUUACACUAACACUAGCGAUCAUUUUCUCCCCUCAAUCAAGGGAAAACUGAAUAAAGUUAAAUCUUGCAUAAAACUUGCAGAAAAAUAUAAAAGCGACUUUCUCUUAUCAUUUUACUUACUAACAAAUCAUCAUUUUGCAAAAUAUCUUAGUUUAAAUUGACAAACUGAGGUGAGAAAUUUAAACUGAAAACACCAUAAACAUAUACUAUUCUCAUUGAACGUUUCCAAUUCAGUAAAGAUCAGAUAAAUGAAUAAUUCGAUUGUCUCAAGAACUAAGUAACUAACUCAAAACAGAAAAAUUGAACAAAUGAAGCAUAAUUUGAAAUUGAACUAUUUUGCAGAUGAUGAUUUUGAUUGCUUCCAAACAAAAUGCAGAACAAUUCAAACACCAAAAUUGAUACAACACACGCUAGAUCUCCAAUGAAUGUUGAAAAUUGCUUCAAAAUUUCAAGAAAUCAAGAAAACUCAGUAUAAACAACAUCACAUCUCGAUCGGCAUGAAUUGCAAUCUACGGCACCAAACAAAUCAAAAUGACAGCACAACUAGAAGUGAGUGUGUGUGUGAGAGAGAGUGAGAGGAGUAAGUGAAUGUUUGGUGCAAAUAAGUGCAAAACUUUGUCUAUUAGCAUAAUUUAAAAUUUUCAGGGGGUUCAAAAGAAAUAUUAUAUAAGGGGGUUAGUGCAAAUUAUUUUUGUUCAUAUGAACCCCCUCAUGUUAAAGUGACUCUGUCACUGUCCUUCCUCAUUCAAACCUCCGACCCAGACUACCGCUGUUUCAUCUCAGUUCGUUUCUCAUUUCCGCUUCAUCUUCUCUUCUCUCUGUCAUGUGUAUGCAGAUUUGAAUCUGAGAUGCUCGCUCCUCCAUCCUCUUUGAUAUGAAUCUGCUUCUCUGCUUCUCACGAUGGAGUUUUGAAAGGUUUGAUUUUGUGGGAUGUGUUUGAUUUUCUCAAGAUUGAGUUUUGAUUUGAUGGGUUUGGUUGAAAGAAAGAGAUGCAUUAUGUUGUCGAUACGAGGAGAACCAUCUCUGUUCAAUCUUGUCUCUCAUUCCCCAAAAAGCAGUACUCAGAUCUGGGUUUCAAGGAUUCGAACACAAAUAUGAGAUUUAUCUUCGUUGAGGUCUUGACCAAGGUGGUUUACGUGGUGGAGGUUGUGGGUCGUUUAAAUGGGGAUGUGGCUGGAGUGGUGGCUGGAGGGGGUGGAGUUUGGGUUUUUUGGGAAGUUGAAGAAGGUGAAGAUGAACAAGAUGAAGAUGAAGAAGAAGAAGUUGAAGAUUGUGUUAAUUUAAUGGGGGGCUAAAUUGAGGUUAAUUUUUUUCCCCAGCUUUCAUUUUACACGUGGACACUCCAGCAUGGAAAAAAAUCCAUCUCAGCAUUUUCGUUAACGUCCGUCAUCGGUUUUAACCCCAAGGACUAAUUUGAAUGACAUUUUCCACAUUCAAGGACCGCGGGAUGAAUUUUUAAGUUUAAGGACCAACUUGAAGGCGCUUGACACAUUCAGGGACCAACUUGGCUAUUUACCCAUGUUAUACUAAUUACUUUAGGUACUUAAGGUCGUGUUUGACCUAGCUUUUUUAUAACUUAAAAGUUACUUUUAAGUAAAAGUUUAAAAUAAGAGCUUUAAAUAAAAGUAGAAGUUGUUUGUCAAAAAAUUCCGUAAAAGUUACUUUUAAGUCAAAAUUUGUUUGGUGAAUUUUUCUUUUGAGAAAUUGAUUUUAUUUAAAUGGAAAUCAUCAUCUGAUUCUUUACUUUUUUUUUUUUUUUGCUGCAUUGGAAAAACUACAAAAGGGUUAAGGAAUAAAAGCAUAAUCACUCAGCAUAAGAGUCAUAAUCUCCAGCUGAGGAUUGUCCCAUACAUGGACACCAGGUUGCAAACUUUCCGCACCCAAACGAGCCAGACGGUCUGCCACCCUGUUGGCAAUCCUGUUAACAGGUUGCAGCACCACAAUCCAAUCUCUAAGAAGCCAAUUGUUGAUGUCCUGAAGCACUGGCAUGAACCGGGUCCUCUCUUGGUCGCCAAGGGAUGAGAUCAACUCUUGACAAUCAACCUCGCAUAUGAGGUUCCUGAAGCCAAGCUGCCACCCACACUCCAAUCCAUCACGGAGCGCCGUAGCUUCCGCCAGGAGCGGGUUACCGCCGGUUUCAAAGGAGAUGAAGCCACCCAUCCAUGUUCCCUUGCUGUCACAGAACACACCACCGCCACCCAUGCGACGAGGUUCUCCACCAAAGCUUCCAUCAACGUUCAGUUUCACCGUUCCCGCUGGCGGAGGCUUCCAACUAUCACUCAUAUGUUGGUUCCCGUUCUCAACAUUGAGGGGAUCCUGGAAAUGGAUAAUUUCAUCAUAGUCAUGGCAGAUGCGACGCCAAGCCUCCUGCAGUGUCCAAGGAGAAGGUUCAAACAACAUGUUGUUUCUCCAUCUCCAAAUGCCCCACAACACCACCACAAAUUGAACUCCGAUGCUGCUUCGAGCUAGAUUAGUGACCCAUCUUCUGGGAUCUUGCUGCAGAAAAUCAUCUCUGGACAGGAUUCCCAAACGAAGCCAGAUUUCCCUCGAAUGAGGGCAAUCCCUCAUGCAAUGAAGGAUCGUUUCUUCCCCUCCUGAGCAUCGGGUGCACCGCGAGUCUUGGCUCAAAUUGCAUCUGAAACGAUACGUAUUAACCUGCAAAGAUUCAUGACAGAUAAUCCAGAUAAAAAAACGCAAUUUCUCAGGGACUGCAAGCUUCCAAAUCCAGUUCCACAUCCCUGUUGGGGCCUGCGAAUGAUCCUGGGCAUGGAGCUAGGCAUAUGCGUCCCUAGUGGUGUAGCACCCUGUCGGAUUUCCAUCCCAAAUCCAUAGGUCAGAUCUCCCCCCUUGAAGCACUGGAGCAAUCAGGUUCAAUUUAUCUCUGAAGAUGGGAGGCAUCUCCGUAUAGGCCCGUUGAAAAUUCCACUGGUUGCCUUGAAUCAGGUCUCGAAGACUCAACCUGGUGUCUGCAAUAUUAACGAAAGGAAGCUGGUGGGCUAGGGCACCUAACCCGCUCCAAUCCGCAUACCAAACGGAUGUGUCGCCGCUCCCAAGACGAAACCGAAAGCCAUUAUGAAUUUUGUCUCUUGCCCUAAGAAUACCUCUCCAAACAAGUGAGUCGGAGGUACGGUGAGGGGCAUGUAAAAUUGAGGAUGCUGUCAAAUAUUUGUUAGCAAGAGCCUGGACCCAGAGUUUGUGAGGGUGAUGCAUGAUACUCCACACAGCUUUACCUAACAACGUUGUGUUUGCUAUUGCCAUGUCCCGAACACCCAAACCGCCUCUCUCCUUCCUUGUGAUCAACCAGUUUGUUCCAACCAAUCAAAUGCCAACCUGGUCUACCUGAGCCCUUCGACCAAAUGAACGAUCUCAUGGUCUUGUUGAUCUGAUUUAAGAGCCCUCUAGGAAGCCAAAAUGCUUGCAUGCAGUAUGUGGGGAUAACUGAAAUCACAGACUUCACCAAACAAACCCGACCAGCCAUGUUCAACAUAUUUGUCUUGUUUUAAGGAAUUGUUUUUUAAUAAAACUAAUAACAAGGCAUAUGCACAAAGCAUCUUCAUUUCCAUAGGAGUACUGUUCAUACAACACUUCCAGUGAAGAAAUCUUUGUUGCGAGGUGGUGUUUGCUUGGAGAAUGAUUUCAAGCCAGAAUAUAUCCGGAUGAUGAAGCCAAAAUUAAAUGAAUUCCCCCACCGCCGCACUUAUUCCUAUCUCUAGUCUGUCAAAGCUGAUAUGAAUUGGACUGCAUAAAGGGAAGCAACAUCACACCACUUCCCAGUUUUGCAGUCGUCACCCAAACCGUACAUGGAAUCCAUCCAAGAGUUUAGUCCCCGAGCUUAUAGCCCACUUCAAAACACAAGUGGUUGAAACAUUUUAUCAUAUGGUGAGACUACAAAACCCAUAAAAACACAAAACGCAACAGAAUGUAAAAUCCAUAAAACCCCAUAAAAUGUAAUUGACACCAAGGAUUGAUAGAGAAUAAGCAGAAAUAGUUUUUGUCAAAAUAAGCAGAAAACUCAAUCUCUUUAAUUUGCUUCAUGGCUAUUAGCUCCAUCAACAGAGAUAUUAGAUUCUGAUCUGGAAGCCAUAUUUGGAGGGAACCUGAUCUCCUCUCUAAGAUUGCAGAGGCAGAGCACUUUUGAUGCCCAUGUGCUUUCCUCAACCUAGGACAAGGAGAAGAUCGCUAAUCCUUGAGAAGAUGAUGGCUUCAUCUCGAGUAGACAUGGGCGAGUGGGCGACUUCAGCGUUGUCGCAAUCUAUUCUAAGAAGGUGACCUUCCUUUUUCUAGAACGAAGAAGAAGAUGAAUCACGAACAGAAUAAGACGUAGGAAAGAUAAGUUGCUUAUAAGUAAAAAGCUCAUCUCCAUAACUUUUUUUUCUUAAAAGUUACUUAUUUCUAUUUUAUGUUGUAAAAAAUAAGUAACUUUAAUUUUUAGAGCUUUUUAAAAAUUAUGUUUGACCUAACUUAUCUUAAAAGUAACUUAAAAGUAAAAAAAAAACUGGCGAAACACUACCUUAGAAAUUUAAUGUUUCUUGGCUCUGUUCCAUUUCUCUUAUCUAUGGUGCUAAUGAUAACUUUCAUAGCUUGUCACCAUAUCUGUUUCUAUUUGUUUUUUAUUUGAAAGCUGAAUCAAAUAUAUAUUAAAAAGCCUCAAAGGGAGCAAAGAGAUCACCGGUCCAGAAACAUUGCCUCAAAACAUAUGAAACCCUCCACUAUGGCCAUUAGAGAUCUUUGAGAAUGAGUUUCAAUAAAAUCUUAUUAGGAAAAACCCAGUAGGAUAAAAACCUAAUGAAGGAAAAAAGAGUGUUCAAUUCUCAAAGAGGCCAAAAAUACACACAGACAAAACCCCACCCUUCCUCUAGAAAAAAACAAUAUUACAUAACAAAUGUUUAGCUCCAAAUUCAGAAUACACGCAUGAAGCUAAUCUACUAGCUUUCUACAGCCCCUUCCUUUAUGCAUACUUAUGACAUGCCAUUAUACUAGCCAUCCCACCAUUCUUUCAAAUAGGCUGCAAUUCACCAUUUGUGCCCCUGCAAUCACGACAAACCACCUGCACAAGGGAACAAACACCCAAGCGAAUCAAAAGAUUUGCAUACCUCAAGCGUGACCCUCAUAUGUCUGGCUUGAUUUGUUUGGGAUCUGGUCAGUAUUAGUCAUUCUGGUAACUCUUGGUUGUUACCCUUGCCCUUUCUGGGCUGUUCAUAGUUUCUGUGAUGUGGUCUUUGUGAAUAACUCUGAAACUUUAAUGUGUUGGAAAUUAUAAACAGUAUUUUGAUGUGGAAUAACAACCUAUUUUUAGAACUAGUACAGGGAGAGGAUGGGGUCACAACUCGAGCCAGAAGGACGUGGUUGGUGGGAAAGGAGUUGGGGUUGAAAGCAAGAGGCUCAGAGGUUUGGAAAGCUCAAAUUUGUGAAAACCACCCAAACCUCAUUUGAUCUCUUGCAUGGGGAACCUCUAGUUAAC